UACGGGGGGAGCAAGCGUUGUUCGGAUUUACUGGGCGUAAAGGGCGCGUAGGCGGUCAGCACAAGUCAGUUGUGAAAUCUCCGGGCUUAACUCGGAAAGGUCAACUGAUACUGUGCGACUAGAGUGCGGAAGGGGCAACUGGAAUUCUUGGUGUAGCGGUGAAAUGCGUAGAUAUCAAGAGGAACACCAGUGGCGAAGGCGACUCACUGGACACAUAUUGACGCUGAGGUGCGAAAGCUUGGGGAGCAAACAGG
RNAcentral lists this ribosomal RNA (254 nucleotides) under uncultured bacterium. Its description in RNAcentral is "partial 16S ribosomal RNA". It matches the Rfam family "Bacterial small subunit ribosomal RNA", at positions 524 to 776 of the family's 1533-position model. The record is from RNAcentral.